GGUAAUUCCAGCUCCAAAAGCGUAUAUUAAAGUUGUUGCAGUUAAAACGUCCGUAGUCGAACUUACGCCUUGUGGCUAUGCAGCUGGUCAUUCAUUUGGCUAGAUUUGUUUUAGCCCGGGUGAUAAAGUUUGGGUAUGAUCAUGUUGGCUUCGGUCGGUGUGGUUCUCUGCCCAAGCGUAUUACCAUGAGCAAAUCAGAAUGCUCAAAGUAGGCCUUCGUGCCUGAAUGUGUUAGCAUGGAAUAAUGAAAUAGGACCCUAGUCUUGUUUUGUUGGUAUACUUGACCUUGGGAAAUGAUGAAUAGGAACGGUUGGGGGCAUUUGUAUUUGGUCGCUAGAGGUGAAAUUCUUGGAUUGACCGAAGACAAACAACUGCGAAAGCAUUUGACCUAGGACGUUUCCAUUGAUCAGGGACUAAAGUUGAGGGAUCGAAGACGAUUAGAUACCGUCGUAGUCUUAACCACAAACUAUGCCGACUAGCGAUUGGAUCCUCGCCACUGGCAGGAUUCAGCAGCUUAGCGAAAGUAAAGUUUUUGGGUUCUGGGGGGAGUAUGGGACGCAAGGCUGAAACUUAAAGGAAUUGACGGAAGGGCACCACCAGGAGUGG
RNAcentral lists this ribosomal RNA (606 nucleotides) under Cunninghamella bainieri. RNAcentral's name for it is "SSU rRNA". It matches the Rfam family "Eukaryotic small subunit ribosomal RNA", at positions 578 to 1179 of the family's 1831-position model. Lineage: Eukaryota; Fungi; Mucoromycota; Mucoromycetes; Mucorales; Cunninghamellaceae. The record is from RNAcentral.